This is a long non-coding RNA of Homo sapiens (human), 4416 nucleotides long. RefSeq lists it as uncharacterized. The transcript is spliced from 3 exons. Lineage: Eukaryota; Metazoa; Chordata; Mammalia; Primates; Hominidae. The record is from RefSeq and is a predicted model, not a curated record.
GGUUGGGGCCCAUUGAUGUAAGCCAUUAUUCUUAUACAUGUUGUCUGUCUUCCUUCGAAGGAGACAGGCUGCAGACUUCCAAGUCACUCUGGCUUAUAUGUAAUGCCCUGCUCUCCUUCGUCUCUUUCACAGGCUCGAGGAGACUUUUCCUGCCGCAGCACAGGCUGUUCUUGCAUGCUGAGACAAGCAGCCUCAGGGUGCAGGGUGGAAUUGCUACACCAUCUCCCUUGGGUGUCUGUUAUCAGGGAUUGAUGGCAGACCCAGCCUAGAGCAUUUGGAGGUGGUCUGAGUGGGGUAUGGGGUGAGGGAGUUUCCCAAAGAGCCAAAGAGUGACUUGCCCUUCCUGAAAACUGUGCCAUAGAAAACCUAAGUUUUGCCUUCCAUCCGACAGCAACUUCCUUUAAAAGCAUCAAGGAAGGGAAACACACAGAGGAGGCGGAGCCAGUUGGAGCUACAGCUUAGGCCCUGAACUGGGAUGCUGGUCCCCUGGGAUCCUGUCUGGAUUUACAGAGGCUGUUUUUUUGAUCAAAAUAGAGGCCUUAAUGGCUUCCUGUUUAGACGUUAUUGCUUUACCAUGAGACCCAUGGGAGAUAGUGUAGCAAUUCUACCCUGCACCCUGAGGUGGAAGAGAUGAGGACACCAGAGUAUUACCUUCUGAGGGUUGGCUGCAUCCUGCCCUGCCUAGUGCUUCUCUGACAACCACAGCUACUCUCUCCAGGCUCUUCCCUCCCCUUUAAACUGAGGGGAGGUAAUGGCUCCUCUGUGUUGCCAGCCCCCGGAUGCUGCACCAACUCUUCUGGGUCUCCUUAACCCUGCUCACACCCUUGUAAAUGCUCCCUAUAAUAAACUCUCCUCGGUUAUCCCCGUUCAGGGCACCAUCUGUUUCCUUCCAGGACGAGCACUCAUAUAAGUCGACAAUGCAUCUGCAUUCUAGAAAAUAAUUCAGUGUUCCAGACAAGAAUAUUGUUGAUUUUUGAAGAAAUUUCCCAUACCUACACUAAAGGAACACCAAAUUUAUUACUGUAUCAGUGAGACAGCUGUUGUGACAGUAAAGUGAGACCCUUGUAGCAAAAGCACUUUUCGGACUCCAUGAUGUUAGGAAACUGCAAAACACCUUCUUCUGAGUCCAGAGACUGGAAAAUGAACUCUUGUGUGGCCUCUAGUACUAGGAUGGCUGAGUUUCUUCAACCUGUUGCAUGCGAAGAAAGUGAAGCAAAGAGAACACAGGCCCUUUUGGUCUGCAAAAGGCAGGUAGCUGCCCUCAUGACCUGACCACAUAGAGGAUGCCAAAAAGUGGGCUCCCUCUGAGAAUAGCAAUGUCCAAAAGAAUAGAGGACAGAGAGAUUGAGAGGAAACCUCAUGAUUCAGAAUGGCAACUCUGCCCUGGCAAAUAUGGUGCAGUGAAUGGAAAACUCUUUUCACUCACCAGUCAGACCAAUCAUUUCUCCUCUCACAGAAUGGAAGGAGUGAGGGAAUGAAGAGAGGAAUAGCAAGUGCUCAGACACAAACUGCUCCUUUCUGAGGCGGGGAAGCAGAAACCCUUUAUCUAUGAGGAUCAAAGGAAAAACGUCCCCAAAUCACAGGCAUUUCUGCGGGAUGUGCAUGGUCCCACAGAGCCCCACCAGGUGGAUAUUUUCCAUGUUGUGAGUACCGGCCUUCCCAUUCCUUUGUUUCUAUAGUUCCUUUUGGACAAGUGCUGCUGUGAGCUUUGUGCCCUGUGUCAUUCAAUCACUUUCUACUCUGCCCCCCUCCCCACCCCGCCACAGUGUCAGGCCCUGAGCCUUUGCCUACCUGCUGUCAGAGCCCUGUGUGGCUUCCUCUCAGGUAGGUGAUAAUGGGGAGUGAGAGCUUUUAAUCAGACAAAUGAAUCAUGCUGAUUAUCCCUAGUUCAAUCAUGGAUUACCCCUGCCAGGGAAUCUCCUGUCUAGUGUUUAAGCCAAUUAAAGGGCUCUGGGGGAGUCCUUGGCUGGGGGUUCAGGAUCAGAGGAGGGCAGGCUAAGGGGAGGCACUGGGGAAGGGGAUUUCAGGGCAAAACACAUCUCACCCUGCAGAUGAUGAGGGGUUCUUCCCAUGUUCAAGGGUGACUGAGACCUUGGUGUGUGGGGUUAAUCACACAGAUGGAUUGCUCAAAGUCCACAGAGCAACCGAAGGGAUAACCCAUGGUCACCAGACCUUGUAAAUUCACCAUUAUCUUCUCCCCUGCUUUUUUUUUUUUUGAGAUGGAGUCUUGCUCUGUUGCCAGGCUGGAGUGCAAUGGCGCAAUCUCGGCUCACUUGCAACCUCCGCCUCCUGGGUUCAAGCGAUCCUCCUCCCUCAGCCUCCUGAGUAGUUGGGAUUACAGGCGCCCGCCACCACAGCCAGCUAAUUUUUGUAUUUUUAGUAGAGAUGGGGUUUCACCGUAUUAGCCAGGAUGGUCUCGAUCUCCUGACCUCGUGAUCUGCCCACCUUGGCCUCCCAAAGUGCUGGGAUUACAGGUGUGAGCCACCGUACCUGGCCCUCCAGUCCCAUCUUUUCUAACUUGAGCUCCUGCAAUAACUUCCUAGCUGGUCUGCCUACUCCACUCUCUAACUUCUCUAUAGGGCAGCUAGAGUUGUCUUUUCUAUGUUUUUAUUAUUUACAUAAUUAGGAAAAAACAUUUAAAAAUAUAGAAAAGUGCAGAGAUAUUAUAGCUAAUAUCCAUAUAUUUGCUACUCCAAAUCAACAGAUGCUUUUCCUCUAUUCUUUCUAUUAUCUAUCUAUCAUCUAUCUAUCUAUCUAUCUAUCUAUCUAUCUAUCUAUCAUCUAUCGUCUAUCUAUCUAUCUAUCUAUCUAAUCUAUCUUUAUUGAAAUAACACCCAUAUGGAAAAGUACAUAUAUCUUAAUGUACAUCUGUUGAAUGUUCACAAAGUGAACAGUCAUAUAACUGUACCACAAAAAGAAAAGGAACAUUACCCGCCUCUCCUUUUGCCCAUUUCUUGUUAUUCCCCCACCCUACCUGAUCACAGGUAACCACUAUCCUGAGUCCAAUAGCAUAGAUUAGUUUGCCUAUUUGUGAACUUUACAAAAAUACAGUCAUACAAUGUGUGUUUUUUUUGUGUUGUGUUUAUUUUGAACCUUCUUUUUAAGAAAGACAUUUUUAAAGAUAAACGGGAAGUCACCUGCAUUCUAAUUCUUCUAAUUCUUUUUCCUUCCCCAAAGGCAACCAGAAUCAUAAAUGUGAUAACAUAUUUAGUUGAUGUCUUUAUAUGUUUACAUAUUUAUAUAGCAUUACUUUGGAUGUGUUUUGUUUGUAUUCAAAUAAAUGGUUUUGCAAUAUAUGUUGGUUCUACCACUUGCUUAUUUCACAGAAUGGGCUUUCUAAACCACACAAUGGGUUAUGUGACUCUCUUUCCUUUUUAAACACCCCCACCCAUGCCUUUCCAGACUGUGGGUUCCUGGAAACAGGAGCAAUGUUUUGAUACUUCUUCUUAUUCUGUGAGUCCAACUCUGCGGCUCAUGCUUCAUAAAGAUGUUUCGGGUGAAUGAAUGCAUCAAUUAACAAAUGAGCAAAGUCUCUCACUUCAUAAAGAACUUGAAAGUCCUGAACAAAUACACCCUUCUCUACUGACCACCUUUUGGAGAAAGGUAUCCUCUUUUUAUCUUUUCUUUUACUUUUUUUUCUUUUUUCGUUUUGGCUGCUUUGUCUGUAAAACUGCCCAAAGACUUAAGUCCAUCAGCAAGCCCAGCACAGAAAUUUGACUUUAUAAAAUGUUCCUUCAGAAGAAGUAAAUAUUUCAGAACUGUGUACAAUCUUUGUAGCUUUGCUCCUGAUCUGUUCUUCUGGAAGAGGAGAUAGUAGUAUUCCUCCUAAGGUUUUUCUAACUAUAAACAGAGAAUUAUCAUAGUGAUGUAAGGAGAUUACAACAUUAAAUUCAUAUUUUGAUAAAUUGGUAAAACAUCAGUCAUCCUUCAAGUUAGCCAGCCCUGGGGUUUCUGUUGAAUUCUGUUGGUUCUUCCAGGCUCCCCAGAGGUGAGAUCAUGGCCAGAGGGAGAUGGGUCACUGCUGACAUUCUGAAGGGACAUCUCAGAGCUAUGCUGGGUAAAGGAAAACUGGUCCCAUCUGUCCAGCCUAACUACUGCUGAUAGCACCAAGACCCAGGGCCUUAUCCUCUCUCAGGACCCAGAUUCAUCCUUCCUAUCUCCUCCCCUCCCACAGAGCGCAGCCACCACCCUCAUUAAGCUAGCAUAAGGGAAACAUAUUCAUUUUAGAUUUUGAUUGGAAUCUUGGUUAUGCCACCAACUAUGGAUGAUCUGGACAAGUUCGUGACCUCUCCAACCCUCAGUGUUCUUAAGUGUGCUGUGGGAUAUAUUGUUACUAUUUCAUAGAUAUAUUGGGAGAAUUAAACUAUUGAGUGGUGCAGGAUGUGCAAAUAAUACUCAGUAUUUUUCUACUUGCAU